CCUUUAAAUACUCCUGUCGCACUUUGCAGAUUUCUCUUUUCUCUACCCGCUGCUCUGUGGAGGUUUUUCGUGCAAGCGCAAGCAAUGGGGAAACAUUCAGAACUGGACCAUCAUGCUACUGAACUGCCCAGUCACUUACUGGUUGACCACUUAGACAUCUGGUGCUGGGAUGACCUCAGACCAGCUGGGUUCAAGCAUCUUGAUUCAUUAACAUGAGGUCAUGGAUUUGGCAGAAAGGACUCGCUAACUUAUUCGAUAUGAGACUCUACUUCCUCUGCGUCAUGGCGGCAGGGUGACUUGCACAUGGAUCUGGGAGGCGUGUGGGUCUCAUGAGAUCCAAGAUUUGGGUUCAGCUGAAGCAGAGACUGCCUGAGUUGAAGACUCGGGACUCUUAGCAGAAAUGCAGAUUGAAGCUGACAUUGACCAGCUGAGGGGCGUCAGCACUGAUGCACAGAGUCUUGACUUCAGAUUAAAAUUUUGUAUAUAUACUUGGUGGUUUGUACAGACAGUAACCAAUAAAAUACCCCAAAAAAUCA
Molecule: long non-coding RNA, 536 nt
Organism: Girardinichthys multiradiatus
Lineage: Eukaryota; Metazoa; Chordata; Actinopteri; Cyprinodontiformes; Goodeidae
Exons: 8
Source: RefSeq, a predicted model, not a curated record